UUCUCCGACACCCUCCUCCUCAUCUGUUUUUCCUUCCUUAAAAGACGCAGAAACUGAGAUGUAGAGAGUUGAAGUAACUUGUCCCCAUUCACACAGCAAGGAAGUGUUGGAACUGAUUUUUUAGAAGUGUGACCCUCUGACUUGUCCUAGAAGAAGAGGAGAAAAACUAAAUCGAAUGGGUCAAGAACAGGAAAGGUGAAGUACCUCUGAAGUUACCAGGACACUCCCAUUUCAGAGAAGUUCUGGCGUGGAAGGGGAACCAACUGGCCUUUAGGGCUGGAGGAGCUAAUCACUGUCAGAAUCACUGGAGCUGGAGCAGCCCCUGGUUACCCUCUUGUCUAAAUGCCCUUUUGGGUAAGGGGACAAUUCUCAGGGACGCUAAGGGACAGCCCGUGAUGAUGGUAAACCAGGACUCUUGGCUUUUCAUCAUAAGACUUGUCUCCUUCCCUGACCAGAAAUUGAUCCUAGGCCACAGCAUGGAGCUUCACAAUAGAGAGUGACAAUGUUGACAGGGACACUGCGACCAGUAAACCAAGGUCCACGGAAACAAGCACACAGGACUUUCCAUCCCACACGCUGUGGAGCCAGUGAGUCCUGAAGGCGGCAUGUUUAUCCUGGGUGGAUUCUCGGGAAAAUCAUCACCUUCCUGGAGGAAGUUGAAGAGUCGAAAUGCUGCAAGAGAAUCUGUCCAUCCACCUAGAACCUGGGCAGUGGAUGGGGCUAGGGAGCAUCAUGAAGACAUGGAGGAUGCAUCUAGUGACCCAGGAAUUGUGUGAGAGCUUAAAACAGAAGAACUUAACCUGGACUAGUACUGGGAGAUUACUUUUAGGCUGAGAUCUGAAGUUAGAAGACUGAGGAAGGACAGGGAAAGUAUUCCGGUGGGUGUGAACAGCAGGUGCAAUAGCCCUGAGGUGAGUAGAACACAGUACAUUGGAGGAACCAGAAAGAAGGUCAUUGUGCACAGA
Molossus molossus (Pallas's mastiff bat) is the source of this 965-nucleotide long non-coding RNA. RefSeq lists it as uncharacterized. NCBI's taxonomy places the organism in Eukaryota, Metazoa, Chordata, Mammalia, Chiroptera, Molossidae. The transcript has 5 exons. The record is from RefSeq and is a predicted model, not a curated record.